RNAcentral lists this ribosomal RNA (253 nucleotides) under uncultured bacterium. Its description in RNAcentral is "partial 16S ribosomal RNA". It matches the Rfam family "Bacterial small subunit ribosomal RNA", at positions 524 to 776 of the family's 1533-position model. The record is from RNAcentral.
UACGAAAGGGGCUAGCGUUGCUCGGAAUCACUGGGCGUAAAGCGCACGUAGGCGGGUUCUUAAGUCAGGGGUGAAAUCCUGGAGCUCAACUCCAGAACUGCCUUUGAUACUGGGAAUCUCGAGUCCGGGAGAGGUGAGUGGAACUGCGAGUGUAGAGGUGAAAUUCGUAGAUAUUCGCAAGAACACCAGUGGCGAAGGCGGCUCACUGGCCCGGUACUGACGCUGAGGUGCGAAAGCGUGGGGAGCAAACAGG